This 87-nucleotide transfer RNA is filed under the name Marine Group III euryarchaeote CG-Bathy2. RNAcentral's name for it is "tRNA-Ser". It matches the Rfam family "tRNA". Rfam says of the family: Transfer RNA (tRNA) molecules are approximately 80 nucleotides in length. The record is from RNAcentral. Lineage: Archaea; Methanobacteriati; Thermoplasmatota; Thermoplasmata; Candidatus Thermoprofundales. RNAcentral also lists the same sequence under 4 other names.
GCCGAGGUCGCAUAGCCCGGAAUUGCGCGGGCCUGGAAAGCCCGUGGGAAAUUUCCCUCGCGAGUUCAAAUCUCGCCCUCGGCGCCA